This 440-nucleotide ribosomal RNA is filed under the name uncultured bacterium. RNAcentral describes it as "bacterial SSU rRNA". It matches the Rfam family "Bacterial small subunit ribosomal RNA", at positions 338 to 795 of the family's 1533-position model. The record is from RNAcentral.
CCUACGGGGGGCAGCAGUGGGGAAUCUUGCACAAUGGGGGAAACCCUGAUGCAGCGACGCCGCGUGAGCGAUGAAGUCCUUCGGGAUGUAAAGCUCUUUCGACGGGAACGAUAAUGACGGUACCCGGAGAAGAAGCUGCGGCUAACUACGUGCCAGCAGCCGCGGUAAUACGUAGGCAGCGAGCGUUGUUCGGAGUUACUGGGCGUAAAGAGUAUGUAGGCGGUCUGCUUAGUCCGGUGUGAAAUCUCCCGGCUUAACUGGGAGGGUGCGCUGGAUACUGGCAGGCUAGAGUACGGGAGAGGAAAGUGGAAUUCCUGGUGUAGCGGUGAAAUGCGUAGAUAUCAGGAGGAACAUCUGUGGUGAAGACGGCUUUCUGGACCGUAACUGACGCUGAGAUACGAAAGCGUGGGUAGCAAACAGGAUUAGAUACCCCAGUAGUC